RNAcentral lists this transfer RNA (83 nucleotides) under Acidobacteriota bacterium. RNAcentral's name for it is "tRNA-Leu". It matches the Rfam family "tRNA". Rfam says of the family: Transfer RNA (tRNA) molecules are approximately 80 nucleotides in length. Their secondary structure includes four short double-helical elements and three loops (D, anti-codon, and T loops). The record is from RNAcentral. RNAcentral also lists the same sequence under 1 other name. Lineage: Bacteria; Pseudomonadati; Acidobacteriota.
GCGAAAGUGGCGGAACUUGGUAGACGCACCAGACUUAGGAUCUGGCGCCGCGAGGCGUGGGGGUUCGAGUCCCCCCUUUCGCA